This 465-nucleotide ribosomal RNA is filed under the name Vreelandella stevensii. RNAcentral describes it as "partial 16S ribosomal RNA". It matches the Rfam family "Bacterial small subunit ribosomal RNA", at positions 338 to 795 of the family's 1533-position model. Lineage: Bacteria; Pseudomonadati; Pseudomonadota; Gammaproteobacteria; Oceanospirillales; Halomonadaceae. The record is from RNAcentral.
CCUACGGGGGGCUGCAGUGGGGAAUAUUGGACAAUGGGGGGAACCCUGAUCUAGCCAUGCCGCGUGUGUGAAGAAGGCCCUCGGGUUGUAAAGCACUUUCAGUGAGGAAGAACGCCUGGUGGUUAAUACCCAUCAGGAAAGACAUCACUCACAGAAGAAGCACCGGCUAACUCCGUGCCAGCAGCCGCGGUAAUACGGAGGGUGCGAGCGUUAAUCGGAAUUACUGGGCGUAAAGCGCGCGUAGGUGGCUUGAUAAGCCGGUUGUGAAAGCCCCGGGCUCAACCUGGGAACGGCAUCCGGAACUGUCAAGCUAGAGUGCAGGAGAGGAAGGUAGAAUUCCCGGUGUAGCGGUGAAAUGCGUAGAGAUCGGGAGGAAUACCAGUGGCGAAGGCGGCCUUCUGGACUGACACUGACACUGAGGUGCGAAAGCGUGGGUAGCAAACAGGAUUAGAUACCCCGGUAGUC